Non-coding RNA from Acanthosepion pharaonis, 112 nucleotides. The record is from the annotation of a GenBank genome assembly. NCBI's taxonomy places the organism in Eukaryota, Metazoa, Mollusca, Cephalopoda, Sepiida, Sepiidae.
ACGACUAUAUCACAUUGAAACACCAGUUCUUGUAUGAUCACCGACGUUAAGCAACGUCGAGCUUGUUCUGUACCUAGAUGGGAGACCACUUGGAAAUAUCAGGUACUGUAAG